CCAGUCUGCAUGGAGCCGACCUUGAAAUACCACCCUUUAAUGUUUGAUGUUCUAACGUGGACCCGUAAUCCGGGUUGCGGACAGUGUCUGGUGGGUAGUUUGACUGGGGCGGUCUCCUCCUAAAGAGUAACGGAGGAGCACGAAGGUUGGCUAAUCCUGGUCGGACAUCAGGAGGUUAGUGCAAUGGCAUAAGCCAGCUUGACUGCGAGCGUGACGGCGCGAGCAGGUGCGAAAGCAGGUCAUAGUGAUCCGGUGGUUCUGAAUGGAAGGGCCAUCGCUCAACGGAUAAAAGGUACUCCGGGGAUAACAGGCUGAUACCGCCCAAGAGUUCAUAUCGACGGCGGUGUUUGGCACCUCGAUGUCGGCUCAUCACAUCCUGGGGCUGAAGUAGGUCCCAAGGGUAUGGCUGUUCGCCAUUUAAAGUGGUACGCGAGCUGGGUUUAGAACGUCGUGAGACAGUUCGGUCCCUAUCUGCCGUGGGCGCUGGAGAACUGAGGGGGGCUGCUCCUAGUACGAGAGGACCGGAGUGGACGCAUCACUGGUGUUCGGGUUGUCAUGCCAAUGGCACUGCCCGGUAGCUAAAUGCGGAAGAGAUAAGUGCUGAAAGCAUCUAAGCACGAAACUUGCCCCGAGAUGAGUUCUCCCUGACUCCUUGAGAGUCCUGAAGGAACGUUGAAGACGACGACGUUGAUAGGCCGGGUGUGUAAGCGC
RNAcentral lists this ribosomal RNA (711 nucleotides) under Escherichia coli. RNAcentral's name for it is "partial 23S ribosomal RNA". It matches the Rfam family "Bacterial large subunit ribosomal RNA", at positions 2171 to 2876 of the family's 2925-position model. Lineage: Bacteria; Pseudomonadati; Pseudomonadota; Gammaproteobacteria; Enterobacterales; Enterobacteriaceae. The record is from RNAcentral.